Molecule: ribosomal RNA, 773 nt
Filed under: uncultured Neocallimastigales
Lineage: Eukaryota; Fungi; Neocallimastigomycota; Neocallimastigomycetes; Neocallimastigales
Description: partial large subunit ribosomal RNA
Rfam family: Eukaryotic large subunit ribosomal RNA
Source: RNAcentral
CGUCUAUAUACGUAUAGCAUAUCAAUAAGCGGAGGAAAAGAAACUAACAAGGAUUCCCUUAGUAACGGCGAGUGAAGCGGGAAGAGCUCAAAUUUGAAAUCUUCAAGGUUCUACCUUGACGAAUUGUAGUUUAAAGAAGUGUUUUCUGUUAGAGGAGUAGCAAAAGUUCCUUGGAAUGGGACAUCAUAGAGGGUGAGAAUCCCGUAUUUGGUUAUUCUUUCUAGCUUUGUGAUACACUUUCAAAGAGUCGGAUUGUUUGGGAAUGCAGUCCAAAAUGGGUGGUAAAUUUCAUCUAAAGCUAAAUAUUGGCGAGAGACCGAUAGCGAACAAGUACCGUGAGGGAAAGAUGAAAAGAACUUUGAAAAGAGAGUUAAACAGUACGUGAAAUUGUCAAAAGGGAAGCGUUUGACACCAGUGUUGUUUUUCCGAAAAUCAAUUAAGAGUGGCUUGAUUUUGUGUUGUAUUGACCUUAUCAGCUUUCUUCACUCUUUUUCGAGUCUUUCUUAAUGCACUUUUCGGUUAACAAGUCAACAUCAAUUUCUUUUGUUGUAAAGGGUAUUUGGAAGGUGGCUUUCUUUUCGGAGAAAGUGUUUAUAGCCUUAUACCUCUACAAUCGGAGAGAUUGAGGUCUGCAGCGUAGAUCCUUCGGGGCUAGAUACACUUGUGCUAAGUUAUAGCUUUUCAUAGACAACUUGUUGACUAUGUCUAGUCAUGUAGCUUACCCGCUUGUGCUAUUUUACCUACGCUUAGGAUGUUGAGUAUCACACAUCUCU